RNAcentral lists this ribosomal RNA (254 nucleotides) under uncultured bacterium. Its description in RNAcentral is "partial 16S ribosomal RNA". It matches the Rfam family "Bacterial small subunit ribosomal RNA", at positions 524 to 776 of the family's 1533-position model. The record is from RNAcentral.
GACGUAGGAGGCGAGCGUUGUCCGGAUUCAUUGGGCGUAAAGAGCACGCAGGCGGUUCGAUAAGUCGGGUGUGAAAACUCCAGGCUCAACCUGGAGACGCCACUCGAUACUGUCGUGACUAGAGUCCGGUAGGGGACCACGGAAUACAUGGUGUAGCGGUGAAAUGCGCAGAUAUCAUGUGGAACACCGGUGGCGAAGGCGGUGGUCUGGGCCGGAACUGACGCUGUAGAGCGAAAGCGUGGGGAGCGAACAGG